Molecule: non-coding RNA, 23 nt
Filed under: Cricetulus griseus (Chinese hamster)
Lineage: Eukaryota; Metazoa; Chordata; Mammalia; Rodentia; Cricetidae
Source: RNAcentral
AACAGCCCAGCCUUAGAGCGCUU